GCAUUGGUGGUUCAGUGGUAGAAUUCUUGCCUGCCACGCGGGAGGCCCGGAUUCGGAUCCCAGCUCAUGCA
This 71-nucleotide transfer RNA is filed under the name Salmo salar (Atlantic salmon). It matches the Rfam family "tRNA". Rfam says of the family: Transfer RNA (tRNA) molecules are approximately 80 nucleotides in length. Their secondary structure includes four short double-helical elements and three loops (D, anti-codon, and T loops). Further hydrogen bonds mediate the characteristic L-shaped molecular structure. tRNAs have two regions of fundamental functional importance: the anti-codon, which is responsible for specific mRNA codon recognition, and the 3' end, to which the tRNAs corresponding amino acid is attached (by aminoacyl-tRNA synthetases). tRNAs cope with the degeneracy of the genetic code in two manners: having more than one tRNA (with a specific anti-codon) for a particular amino acid; and 'wobble' base-pairing, i.e. permitting non-standard base-pairing at the 3rd anti-codon position. Lineage: Eukaryota; Metazoa; Chordata; Actinopteri; Salmoniformes; Salmonidae. The record is from Rfam by way of RNAcentral.